GACGAACGCUGGCCUUUUGCUUAACACAUGCAAGUCGAACGGAAAGGCCCUGCUUUUGUGGGGUGCUCGAGUGGCGAACGGGUGAGUAACACGUGAGUAACCUGCCCUUGACUUUGGGAUAACUUCAGGAAACUGGGGCUAAUACCGGAUAGGAGCUCCUGCUGCAUGGUGGGGGUUGGAAAGUUUCGGCGGUUGGGGAUGGACUCGCGGCUUAUCAGCUUGUUGGUGGGGUAGUGGCUUACCAAGGCUUUGACGGGUAGCCGGCCUGAGAGGGUGACCGGCCACAUUGGGACUGAGAUACGGCCCAGACUCCUACGGGAGGCAGCAGUGGGGAAUAUUGCACAAUGGGCGGAAGCCUGAUGCAGCAACGCCGCGUGCGGGAUGACGGCCUUCGGGUUGUAAACCGCUUUCGCCUGUGACGAAGCGUGAGUGACGGUAAUGGGUAAAGAAGCACCGGCUAACUACGUGCCAGCAGCCGCGGUGAUACGUAGGGUGCGAGCGUUGUCCGGAUUUAUUGGGCGUAAAGGGCUCGUAGGUGGUUGAUCGCGUCGGAAGUGUAAUCUUGGGGCUUAACCCUGAGCGUGCUUUCGAUACGGGUUGACUUGAGGAAGGUAGGGGAGAAUGGAAUUCCUGGUGGAGCGGUGGAAUGCGCAGAUAUCAGGAGGAACACCAGUGGCGAAGGCGGUUCUCUGGGCCUUUCCUGACGCUGAGGAGCGAAAGCGUGGGGAGCGAACAGGCUUAGAUACCCUGGUAGUCCACGCUGUAAACGGUGGGUACUAGGUGUGGGGUCCAUUCCACGGGUUCCGUGCCGUAGCUAACGCUUUAAGUACCCCGCCUGGGGAGUACGGCCGCAAGGCUAAAACUCAAAGGAAUUGACGGGGCCCCGCACAAGCGGCGGAGCAUGCGGAUUAAUUCGAUGCAACGCGUAGAACCUUACCUGGGUUUGACAUGGAUCGGGAGUGCUCAGAGAUGGGUGUGCCUCUUUUGGGGUCGGUUCACAGGUGGUGCAUGGCUGUCGUCAGCUCGUGUCGUGAGAUGUUGGGUUAAGUCCCGCAACGAGCGCAACCCUUGUUCACUGUUGCCAGCACGUUAUGGUGGGGACUCAGUGGAGACCGCCGGGGUCAACUCGGAGGAAGGUGGGGAUGACGUCAAGUCAUCAUGCCCCUUAUGUCCAGGGCUUCACGCAUGCUACAAUGGCUGGUACAGAGAGUGGCGAGCCUGUGAGGGUGAGCGAAUCUCGGAAAGCCGGUCUCAGUUCGGAUUGGGGUCUGCAACUCGACCUCAUGAAGUCGGAGUCGCUAGUAAUCGCAGAUCAGCAACGCUGCGGUGAAUACGUUCCCGGG
Molecule: ribosomal RNA, 1343 nt
Filed under: uncultured bacterium
Lineage: Bacteria
Description: 16S ribosomal RNA
Rfam family: Bacterial small subunit ribosomal RNA
Source: RNAcentral